This 293-nucleotide ribosomal RNA is filed under the name uncultured bacterium. RNAcentral describes it as "partial 16S ribosomal RNA". It matches the Rfam family "Archaeal small subunit ribosomal RNA", at positions 455 to 747 of the family's 1478-position model. The record is from RNAcentral.
GUGCCAGCCGCCGCGGUAAUACCGGCAGCCCAAGUGAUGGCCGAUCUUAUUGGGCCUAAAGCGUCCGUAGCUGGCUGCGCAAGUCCGUCGGGAAAUCCACUCGCCCAACGAGUGGGCGUCCGACGGAAACUGCACGGCUUGGGACCGGAAGACUCGAGAGGUACGUCCGGGGUAGGAGUGAAAUCCUAUAAUCCUGGACGGACCACCAAUGGGGAAACCACGUCGAGAGACCGGACCCGACAGUGAGGGACGAAAGCCAGGGUCUCGAACCGGAUUAGAAACCCCUGUAGUCC